This 247-nucleotide long non-coding RNA is filed under the name Sus scrofa (pig). Its description in RNAcentral is "lncRNA (ENSSSCG00030053021.1)". The record is from RNAcentral. Lineage: Eukaryota; Metazoa; Chordata; Mammalia; Artiodactyla; Suidae.
GGGGGGGGGGGGGGGGGGGGUGGGGGGGGGGGGGGGGGGGGGUGGGGGGGGGGGAAGGGGGGGAGGGGGGGGGGGGGUGGGGGGGGGGGGGGGUGGGGGGGGGGGGUGGGGGGGGGGGGGGGGAGGGAGGGAGUGGGGGGAGGGGGUGGAGGGGGGGGGGGGGGAGGGGGGAGUGGGGGGAGGGGGUGGAGGGGGGGGGGGGAGGGGGUGGAGGGGGGGGAUGGGGGGGAGGAGAUGGAGGGGGAGG